Molecule: long non-coding RNA, 3388 nt
Filed under: Macaca mulatta (Rhesus monkey)
Lineage: Eukaryota; Metazoa; Chordata; Mammalia; Primates; Cercopithecidae
Description: lncRNA (ENSMMUG00000054219.1)
Source: RNAcentral
GCCCCGCUACGCUGCAGCUGGAGCGACCGCCACGGCCAGUCCCGCAGACCGGGGAGGAGGAGGAGGAGGGGAAGCCGGGGAGGGAGGCGCAGAGAGGAGGGUUGGAGCCGGGAGGAGGAAAUAAAUAAAUAAAACAAUAACCUCCGCGCCAAUAAGAGCGAGGGAGAGAGCAAGACGCGACCAGAAAGCCACCGGGGCCCGCUCGCGCGCCUCUGAGAGGCUGUCCGCGCGCGCGCGUGUGUGCGUGAGUGUGGAUUUGCCGGGACUGGAGCUGGAAAGUUCAAACUAAACGUGUUGCUCUCGCCGGGUGCCGAGGCCGCGGCGGAGGCUGCCCAACUUCCCCGGGCCAAGUGAGUGGCGUUGCCCAGCGCCUUUGGCGAGGCGGCGGCCGCUCGGCCCUGCGCCCGGGCGAGGCGGCGGCGACGGCGGCUCCGCUCGCCCCGGGAGGGAGCCCGCGGCCAGGGCUGGACGCUCGCCCCGCCACCUCCACCGACUCUCUCUCUCCUCAGCCUCUGCGCCUGGCACCGCAGCAAGCAGGCCAUCACAGCAGAAACAUUAGGAAGAUAUGUGAAAAUAAACCCAGAGCUCAGAGAAGAGGACUGCAGAAGGCAUGGCUGUAAUUUAGGAAUUACUUACACACCUGUCUGUCGCGGGACAAAUCAUGAUAAUGCAUGAAUUCUCAAAAUCUGAUAUGAAAAAUAUGAUACAUCCUUGAAUAUUUUCAUAGUCAAUUGUAAGUAAUCUUGAAUGUGAGUCUCAGUUUUUCCACUUGCUGCAGUUUGGAUAUAGUACUCACGUUCCUCAUCGAGGACCUGGGAAAAAUCUAAGACUGUCCUCCUCUUUCAAGGAAAAAUAGUAGAGAACAUGACUGAACCAGGAACUGAGGCAUGAGUCACAGAAGGCCUAUGGAAUAUAAAGGAUUAAUAUUCAGUGAGUACUUACCAUGUGUUAUACACCCCUCUAUGAUUUCCAAUGUGUUUACUCAUUUAAUCCUAAAGAAAAUUCUGUGAGUCAUGCUGUCAUUAGCGUCAUUUUACAGAUGAGGACGUUGGAGCACAGGGAACUUCAUACACAUGCCAGGGUCCCUGUGGUGAGUGGCAUGAGAUCCUGGACAGCCUGACUCCAAGUCUGAGCUCUGAACCCUUACUGACUCUAAAGCAGUAAAACUACAUGUGAAAUGUCUGUGUUAGGAAAAUGGAAAAGGAAAUCAACAAUCAAAGUAAAAUCAGUAUCCUGGGCAGUACAUUGCCUUAGAAGAAUAAAAGAACAUUUCCACUGAUAUGGUCCUUAGGGGAAUGAUUUUGAAUCCCAGGGAGAACAUUAGGCAAAAGAGAAAAAUUAGGAACGUUAAGAGCAGUUUGCAUUCGAGAUAUCAAUGAAGCUGCCUAAGGAAAGACGAUUCGUUUUUCACAGAGUAUCUUUGUACUUUGAGUCAAAAGAAAUAAUGGACCACAGAGUUUUUAAAAAAAACCUAUAGCAGUAGUUUAAUUAUAUUUUAAUGAUAAUAACAAAUAUACUAAGAUAUAUUAAACACUGAAUAAUGUAGGCAGUUUAUCAGCUGGUUAUACAUACUGCAUUUUUUUAAGUAUACAUUGUAUACCUUAAGGGUAAGAAACCUGUCUUCGGCUUUUCUUUCAUGCUUAUAAUGUCGGACAUAUUUUGCUCAUUCUAUAGUGGAUGCUCGCUGACUUUAUUAGUUGAUUGAAUAUUUGGAUAACAUAGUUCCUUUACUAUUUUUAAAGACUCUGUGAAUGUAGUAUAAUUUUAUUUUGCUUACAAAUAUUUUACUCUAAUACAAUACUGCAAAUAUUUAAAAAGUCUUCCUAUGAUUCUUUGAUUGAGCUAUUCAUUCAUUUAUUCUUCCAUUCAUUGAACAUAUAUGACAAGCACCAAAUCCCAUCUUCUUUUUUUUUUUUUUUUUUGAGACAGAGUCUCGCUCUGUCGCCCAGGCUGGAGUGCAGUGGCGCGAUCUCGGCUCACUGCAAACUCCGCCUCCUGGGUUUACGCCAUUCUCCUGCCUCAGCCUCCCGAGUAGCUGGGACUACAGGCGUCCGCCACCACGCCCGGCUAAUUUUUUGUAUUUUGUAUUUUUAGUAGAGAGGGGGUUUCACUGUGUUAGCCAGGAUGGUCUCGAUCUCCUGACCUCGUGAUCCCCUCGCCUCGGCCUCCCAAAGUGUUGGGAUUACAGGCGUGAGCCACCGCUUCCGGCCCAGAUCCCAUCUUCUGUCAUCUAUGCAAGGCAAUCAGUGUGCAACUCUCUGAUCUCAUUGUUUCAUUUUCUUCUCUGUUCUUACAUGUCAUUUUUACCAGAUGUUAUUUCUUACAUACAAAACAAGUAUUUUCUUAGCCCCACUUUCCCCUCCAGUUACUGCCCCAUAUCUUCAUUCCUCUUUUCAGCACAAUGCCUUGUCUGAGUUCUCUUAGCAAUGAUCAUUAAUUACCUUGCUGUCAGCUUCUAUUUGGUGCACAUCAAUCAGAUUUGCCACACCGGUCUCUACAAAUUCCGAAUGUAAAGAAGCACCAACAACUGCAACACUGCCAAGUCUAAAUGUCACUUCUUGGUCCACAUCUUAAUUGCCCCAUCUGGAGCAUUUGACCUGGUUGUUUCAUCCUAUCUCACUGGUCACUCCUGCUAGGUCUCCUUAAAGGAUUUUCCUCUGCUGACAUGUGGAUGUUGGAGUGCACCAGGGCUACAUCCUUGGAACUCAUGACACUGGAAAUCUAACAAGUCUCUUGAAAGAACUAUCUCACCAAUUCAAAAGAAGCAACUGUUUUGUGUCCAACUAAGACUGAAAGUAGAAGCUUUCUUAUAGCAGAAAAGAUUUCUUGCUUGAUCUCAAAGAGAACUUUUGAAAAGAAGGAGGGUAUAGAGAGGAGGCUGUCUGGGAGAUGAGCAAUUUGAUAAAAGAGUGAUCUGGGGAAUCAUCCCCAUACUUCAGUCUCAGUAUAGAAAUGACCCUGAACUGGUAGGAAAGGACAAGUGCAGCUUGGAAGGGAGUCUGCUCAAAUAACUGUGUCUCUUCAGACUUACAUUUGUCAAAUAAAUCUUAGUAUAGUUUCUAGGCUCAUAAACUUGGCAAAACCUAAGGUUCUAUAAGUUUAUAUUUGUGUGUGUGUGUGUGUGUGUGUGUGUGUGUGUGUGUGUGUGUGUAGAGAUGUAAUCUGUAGACAUAGGCAUGGUGAGGUAAAUAAAUUGACUAUAGCACAUAGAAUAGUUAUUACAUGAUGGGUAUUUCAUGAAUUGACUGAUCUGUUCUAUAAAACAGGGGUCCUCAACUCCCGAGCUGUGGACCUGUACCAGUCCUUGGCCUAUUAGGAACCAGGCUCCACAGCAGGAGGUGAGCAAGCAUUACUUCCUGAGCUCCGCCUCCUGUCAGAUCAGCAUUAG